GUGCCUGAAACUUUGUCUCAACCUGAGUCAUUUGAUGAAAAGGUGAGCAAAGUUUCAGGUGUGU
Molecule: microRNA precursor, 64 nt
Filed under: Limulus polyphemus (Atlantic horseshoe crab)
Lineage: Eukaryota; Metazoa; Arthropoda; Merostomata; Xiphosura; Limulidae
Description: Lpo-Mir-87-P1h_pre stem-loop
Rfam family: mir-87 microRNA precursor family
Source: RNAcentral